Molecule: ribosomal RNA, 253 nt
Filed under: uncultured bacterium
Lineage: Bacteria
Description: partial 16S ribosomal RNA
Rfam family: Bacterial small subunit ribosomal RNA
Source: RNAcentral
UACAGAGGAGCCAAGCGUUGUCCGGAUUGACUGGGCGUAAAGCGCACGCAGGCGGUCGCGCGCGUGGGGUGUGAAAUCUGGCCGCUUAACGGCCAGGCGCCAUCCCAUACGGCGCAACUGGAGGGCUGCAGAGGUCGAUGGAAUUGCCGGUGUAGUGGUGAAAUGCGUAGAGAUGUGGAGGAACACCAGUGGCGAAGGCGGCUUUCUGGUCUGUAACUGACGCUGAGGCGCGAAAGCGUGGGGAGCAAACAGG